This 529-nucleotide long non-coding RNA is filed under the name Physcomitrium patens. RNAcentral's name for it is "long non-coding RNA (PPAT_LNC009313)". Lineage: Eukaryota; Viridiplantae; Streptophyta; Bryopsida; Funariales; Funariaceae. The record is from RNAcentral.
AGCGAGAGCGAGAGAGAGAGAGAAAAGAAAAAAAUAAAGAAUACCUCUGGAUAAGACCAAAAUUAAAAAUAGUUUGUUGAUUAAAAUAAAGUGUUUGUUAUUCUUGUAAUUUUUAAUAUUGAUUUGACGUAUUUAUAUUAUUUACUUGAAAUAAUAAUCAUUCUUAUAAAAUUUAGAUUUGAGUAUUGUAUCUAUUAUCAAAAGUUUUUUUUUAUUUAUAAUUUCAAUAAUAAAUAAAACUUAUAUAUGUUCUAGACACUGAUUUGAAAUAAGACCAAACAUAAUAACAAAUAGACACUUACAUCUAUUGUUGUUGAAUGAGAAGUUAUUCAACAUAAAAUAACAUUGUAAAAAGCUUUUGAUUCAUCACCUUUCUAAUUAUACGUAUUUUUUUAGAUGAGAUUGUAUUCACGUUGUUAAAAUGGUCCACUUCCUACUUAAAAGUGGUUUUGAACUAGCAAAUCUAAAAUUUAAGAAGCCCAUAAGUUGUGAGUUAAAUUUUCAUAAUUAGGUGAUUGAUGUAUUUUAA